AUCGCUUCUCGGCCUUUUGGCUAAGAUCAAGUGUAGUAUCAAAAUGGAUCUAGGACCUAAA
Molecule: small RNA, 61 nt
Filed under: Marmota marmota marmota (Alpine marmot)
Lineage: Eukaryota; Metazoa; Chordata; Mammalia; Rodentia; Sciuridae
Also listed under: 1 other name
Description: U2 spliceosomal RNA
Source: Rfam by way of RNAcentral